CGGGUGAGUAAUGUAUGGGGAUCUGCCUGAUGGCGGGGAUAACUACUGGAAACGGUAGCUAAUACCGCAUAAUGUCUACGGACCAAAGCGGGGGACCUCCGGGCCUCGCGCCAUCAGAUGAACCCAUAUGGGAUUAGCUAGUAGGUAAGGUAACGGCUUACCUAGGCGACGAUCCCUAGCUGGUCUGAGAGGAUGAUCAGCCACACUGGGACUGAGACACGGCCCAG
This 227-nucleotide ribosomal RNA is filed under the name uncultured bacterium. Its description in RNAcentral is "partial 16S ribosomal RNA". It matches the Rfam family "Bacterial small subunit ribosomal RNA", at positions 103 to 334 of the family's 1533-position model. The record is from RNAcentral.